RNAcentral lists this ribosomal RNA (274 nucleotides) under uncultured bacterium. RNAcentral describes it as "partial 16S ribosomal RNA". It matches the Rfam family "Bacterial small subunit ribosomal RNA", at positions 523 to 796 of the family's 1533-position model. The record is from RNAcentral.
AUACGGAGGGUGCAAGCGUUAAUCGGAAUUACUGGGCGUAAAGAGUACGUAGGCGGCUUGUUAAGUCAGAUGUGAAAGCCCAGGGCUCAACCUUGGAACUGCAUUUGAAACUGGCAAGCUAGAGUAUGGUAGAGGGGGGUAGAAUUUCUGGUGUAGCGGUGAAAUGCGUAGAUAUCAGAAGGAAUACCAGUGGCGAAGGCGGCCCCCUGGCCCAAUACUGACGCUGAGGUACGAAAGCGUGGGUAGCGAACGGGAUUAGAAACCCCUGUAGUCC